AAACAGGCUCUUUUCAGAGCCACAAACUCUUGUAGAUAUCUCUCU
Oikopleura dioica is the source of this 45-nucleotide non-coding RNA. NCBI's taxonomy places the organism in Eukaryota, Metazoa, Chordata, Appendicularia, Copelata, Oikopleuridae. The record is from Rfam.